This 22-nucleotide non-coding RNA is filed under the name Arabidopsis thaliana (thale cress). Lineage: Eukaryota; Viridiplantae; Streptophyta; Magnoliopsida; Brassicales; Brassicaceae. The record is from RNAcentral.
CCAACGACAGUUAGUUUGUCGG